RNAcentral lists this ribosomal RNA (586 nucleotides) under uncultured bacterium. Its description in RNAcentral is "partial 16S ribosomal RNA". It matches the Rfam family "Bacterial small subunit ribosomal RNA", at positions 355 to 1375 of the family's 1533-position model. The record is from RNAcentral.
UGGGGAAUUUUGGACAAUGGGGGCAACCCUGAUCCAGCAAUGCCGCGUGCGUGAAGAAGGCCUUCGGGUUGUAAAGCACUUUUGUCCGGAAAGAAAACGCCGUGGUUAAUACCCGUGGCGGAUGACGGUACCGGAAGAAUAAGCACCGGCUAACUACGUGCCAGCAGCCGCGGUAAUACGUAGGGUGCAAGCGUUAAUCGGAAUUACUGGGCGUAAAGCGUGCGCAGGCGGUUUGCUAAGACCGAUGUGAAAUCCCCGGGCUCAACCUGGGAACUGCAUUGGUGACUGGCAGGCUAGAGUAUGGCAGAGGGGGGUAGAAUUCCACGUGUAGCAGUGAAAUGCGUAGAGAUGUGGAGGAAUACCGAUGGCGAAGGCAGCCCCCUGGGCCAAUACUGACGCUCAUGCACGAAAGCGUGGGGGAGCAAACAGGAUUAGAUACCCUGGUAGUCCACGCCCUAAACGAUGUCAACUAGUUGUUGGGGAUUCAUUUCCUUAGUAACGUAGCUAACGCGUGAAGUUGACCGCCUGGGGAGUACGGUCGCAAGAUUAAAACUCAAAUGAAUUGACGGGGUCAUAGCUGUUUCCU